Molecule: long non-coding RNA, 2053 nt
Organism: Maniola jurtina (meadow brown)
Lineage: Eukaryota; Metazoa; Arthropoda; Insecta; Lepidoptera; Nymphalidae
Exons: 2
Source: RefSeq, a predicted model, not a curated record
UAUUAAAGGUAUAUUUAGAAACAAUUUUAUUAGGAAACUAAAUCGUUAAGGUAUUUAUGAACUGCUUAUAGUAAGUCUUUAACGUAUAUUUACUACAAAUGUAAGAUUUGUAAAUUUAGAACAAUUUCAAUUGUAUAUAACCCAUAUCCAUCUCCAAGAUGCAAGCGACCUCUGUACCUUUCAUAAAAUCAGUUAAACAGACGAGCCAUGAAAAGGUAACUUUUUUUGUAUUUAUAAUAAUGGGCAUUGAAUUUGGAUAUAGUAGCUAGGUGCGUCGGUCUAGACGCGUGGACGGGCGGGAAAUCACAUUGGGUAUCUGUCUAGUCUAUAUACCGCAUGUCUAACUUAACUACAUAUAUAAGCAUUGUUUCACACAAGGGACUUUACAAUGUGACAAUGUGCGGUGUCUUCUUUGAUAAUAAUUUAAACAGCAAACCAAGUGGUACGCGCACGAAAAGCAAGGAUUAGUUCGCUCUGCGACCCGUCAAGCAUUCCCAAUGUUAUGUUUACUCGAGAUCUACUGUAUCCAUCCCGUGUUUCGAUCUACCGUAAGACAUUCUUCCGAUUCUUAUAUUUUCAUUAAAGUUCCCACGGCGUCGUAAAUACUCAUCAUCCAAUAUAAAUGCAAAAGUAACUCUAUAAUAUGUUCGACGGCCUGUUUGUGGCGGCCCUUUCACAGCUCAAAAGCUCGCAUCCUGGCUAUGAACAUAAGGUCAUUUUUUAUCUCAUAAAAUAAAAGAUUCCCAAGAGACCCUAAUGCACGCGGACGUCAGCAAGUAGAUAAUAGUUAUAAUAUUAACAAGCUUGCUUAACUCGAUUGCGGCUCACGCGAUCAAGUAAGUACAUAACUACUUCUGACACAUUUGAGUGAGGGAAUCAUGGAUAACAAUCUAACAAUCAGCAAGUAGUAGUUUUAUAGCUAUCCAUGAAACCGGAUUCCUUUUACAGAAAGAAGUUACUAUAGUUUUCUUACAUACAAUCCCAUUUAUGAAUGAUACAGGUGUAAUUCUGUAAAAUAUAAUAUAAAUGAAGAUCUUAGUUGAUUAGAUCUAGCAUAGGAAUGUAUACCAAUAGCAUUAUACAAAUUUUACUUUAUAUUCUUAAACCUAAUAAUUAUUCUUGGUUUAAUUGCUGUAAACUAAGUAACAAAUCCCCUAAACCAUAUUAUUAUGAAAAAUCUCACCAUUAACUCAGAGAAUACUUAUAAUAAUAGAAAAUACACAUAUUUAUAUACUACUGCGUCCGCCCUAAGUGCUUGGCGGUGCGUAUUAUUGAUAUCAUUGUAAAUAUAUCCCGGAACUGACAACGGGGAUAAGGGUGGUCGCACAAAGAAGCAGGUUUCCAGUAGCAACAGCUCGGUGCGGGUAAUAUAGCCUCAUAUCAUACGUGUCUCUACGUAAGUGGGUAAUAAAUAUACGAUAACAUAAGGCUAUUAUACCGGCACCGACCUGUCGGUACCGAAAACCUGCUUUUUUAAGCAGCACCUUAACACAGUAUUCAAUGAAUUCAAUGUUUUCAAAUGCGCACCUAACCAAUAACUUAGUUAACACAAUUAACCAAUGUUGUUAGCAUGUUUUUUAAUCUUUUUAAUCCUCGACUUUGUAUAUGUUAAAAAAUUGAACGUAAUCCUAAAUUACCGUAGAGUCUCCUAACUUCAACUUAUAUGCCUAACAUCGGCUAAAAUUUAAAAAGUUCAAUAUUUUUUUUUCCUUUUAUGGAAACACUAAUUGUAGUGAUUUGGGAAGUAUACAUAUUUAAUCAUGGCAACUUUGCAAUGUCAUUUGUCAAAAUAUUGGUGGCCAUUUUGUCACAAUCGUGAGUAACUUCGGUUCACGCACACGCUUCUUUUUUACCGACCCCGAAAAUUUGUGUCAUUACUCAAUACUGCUUGGAGGUAAUCCAAAAACUCUAGACAUGAAUCGAGAAUUCGUAAAAAAAGAAAAAACGAUCAUAUACAGUUGCUCACAGCCAAGACAUGUUGGAUUUAGCAUUAGAAUGCCUAAGAAAAAGACAGUUUUACGAUUACUACGAUUAAAGUGUUUAAUUCAUUCAU